UGAUACCAUGGCUCAUUCCGUAGAGCAAGAGACUCUGAAUCCCAGGGUUGUGGGUCCGAGCCCCACUGGGUGAA
This is a non-coding RNA of Podarcis lilfordi (Lilford's wall lizard), 74 nucleotides long. Lineage: Eukaryota; Metazoa; Chordata; Lepidosauria; Squamata; Lacertidae. The record is from the annotation of a GenBank genome assembly.